RNAcentral lists this transfer RNA (73 nucleotides) under Hemisus marmoratus (mottled shovel-nosed frog). RNAcentral describes it as "tRNA-Leu (CUN)". The record is from RNAcentral. Lineage: Eukaryota; Metazoa; Chordata; Amphibia; Anura; Hemisotidae.
ACUUUUAAAGGAAAACAGCUAUUCCCCUGGUCUUAGGCUCCAGCCCUUCUUGGUGCAACUCCAAGUAAAAGUU